This 492-nucleotide ribosomal RNA is filed under the name uncultured bacterium. Its description in RNAcentral is "partial 16S ribosomal RNA". It matches the Rfam family "Bacterial small subunit ribosomal RNA", at positions 29 to 507 of the family's 1533-position model. The record is from RNAcentral.
AGUGAACGCUGGCGGUAGGCCUAACACAUGCAAGUCGAACGGCAGCACAGUAACGGCUUGCUCUUACGGGUGGCGAGUGGCGGACGGGUGAGGAAUACAUCGGAAUCUACUUUUUCGUCGGUGAUAACGUAGGGAAACUUACGCUAAUACCGCAUACGACCUACGGGUGAAAUCAGGGGAUCUUCGGACCUUGCGCGGUUGAAUGAGCCGAUGGCGGAUUAGAUAGUUGGCGGGGUAAAGGCCCACCAAGGCGACGAUCCGUAGCUAGUCUGAGAGGAUGAUCAGCCACACUGGAACUGAGACACGGUCCAGACUACUACGCGAGGCAGCGGUGGGGAAUAUUGGACAAUGGGCGCAAGCCUGAUCCAGCCAUACCGCGCCGGUGAAGAAGGGCUUCGGGUUGUAGAGCCCUUUUGUUGGGAAAGAAAAGCAGCAGGUUAAUACCCCGAUGUGCUGACGGUACCGAAAGAAUAAGCACCGGCUAACUUCGUG